AGGUUCGAAUCCUGCACGACCCACCAAUUUAGCAUCAAACUCAGAUGUUAAGCGUGAAGGAUAACGUUGUUUCAGCAACGGCCCGAAGGGUGAGGCGAAGCCGAGUCAUCCUGCACGACCCACCA
RNAcentral lists this small RNA (125 nucleotides) under Salmonella enterica subsp. salamae serovar Sofia. RNAcentral's name for it is "partial RtT sRNA". It matches the Rfam family "RtT RNA", at positions 39 to 130 of the family's 130-position model. From Rfam's summary of the family: This family represents a bacterial cis-regulatory element known as RtT RNA. The exact function of RtT is unknown although it is thought that it may be involved in changing the cellular response in relation to amino acid starvation. Lineage: Bacteria; Pseudomonadati; Pseudomonadota; Gammaproteobacteria; Enterobacterales; Enterobacteriaceae. The record is from RNAcentral.